AUUUUACUGGAUGAUCAGGGAAAUUCGAAAAGCUUUCGCUUUUUUGGAAGAGACGUUGCAUGGUCAGGAUUAGUUCGGACCUUGUGUUUUAUU
RNAcentral lists this transfer RNA (93 nucleotides) under Streptococcus mitis. Its description in RNAcentral is "tRNA-OTHER". Lineage: Bacteria; Bacillati; Bacillota; Bacilli; Lactobacillales; Streptococcaceae. The record is from RNAcentral.